AGUCAUCUGGCAGCAGCUCGAGAAGCAUGUCCUCCACGCCGUCAAUCUGAGAGGCAGAGAGAGAGAGAAGGCAUUGAUCGGCCAGAGCCCUCCACUCCCUCCAUUCCUCACUCCUGCGCCUUCCCCUAGCUGGAAACAGCAGGUAGGAACCCAGGUGUGAGGAUUUCAGGGGCUCUUGGAGACUGCCCCUCCUCCCACCAGCCUUCAGCCUGUGACUGCCCACCAGAGAUGUCUUCCUGCGGCUAGCUGGUGGCUGGGAGGAAGUGGAGGCUGGAAUGCAAUGGUGUGAUCUUGGCUCACUGCGACCUCCACCUCCUGGGUUCAAGCGAUUCUCCUGCUUCUGCCUCCCGAGUAGCUGGGAUUACAGACAAAGAAUUCAAGACUAAACUGGGCAUGGUGACACGCACCUGUAGUCUCAGCUACUUGGGAGGCUGAGGCAGGAGAAUCACAUGAACCUGGCAGGCGGAGGUUGCAGUGAGCCGAGAUUGUGCCACUGCACUCCAGCCUGGCCACAGAGCGAGACUCCGUCUCAAAAAAAAAAAAAAAAGAAAAAAAGAAAAAAGAAGAAGUCAAGACUAAGAAGAGUGAAGUAUGAAGUAAUUCACCCACAGACACCCAGCUAGUGAGUGGCAGACCUGGAAGACAAACUAGUUCUGUUUGGCAUCAGAAUCUAUGCUGUCAGCCACCUCACCACAUUCAUG
Molecule: long non-coding RNA, 701 nt
Filed under: Homo sapiens (human)
Lineage: Eukaryota; Metazoa; Chordata; Mammalia; Primates; Hominidae
Description: novel transcript, antisense to TCL1A
Source: RNAcentral